Molecule: ribosomal RNA, 254 nt
Filed under: uncultured bacterium
Lineage: Bacteria
Description: partial 16S ribosomal RNA
Rfam family: Bacterial small subunit ribosomal RNA
Source: RNAcentral
CACGUAGGGGCCAAGCGUUGUCCGGAUUUAUUGGGCGUAAAGAGCUCGUAGGCGGUUUGUUGCGUCGGCUGUGAAAUCCCGAGGCUCAACCUCGGGUCUGCAGUCGAUACGAGCAAACUAGAGUGUUGCAGGGGAGACUGGAAUUCCUGGUGUAGCGGUGGAAUGCGCAGAUAUCAGGAGGAACACCGGUGGCGAAGGCGGUUCUCUGGGCAUUACCUGACGCUGAGGAGCGAAAGCAUGGGGGAGCGAACAGG